AAACACGGACCAAGGAGUCUAACAUGUGCGCGAGUCAAUGGGACCUUCUAAACCCAAAGGCGUACUGAANGUGANGCUKKGCGGCGCGGUUGACCACCGCGGCCGCCCCGGUGAKGGAKGMUGGCACGGGGCGCGCGCCCUCGCGGGCGCGUCGCUUACUCCGGCCCGCACUCCCGGGGCGUCGUUGACGAGCGCACCUAGAGCGCACACGUUGGUACCCGAAAGAUGGUGAACUAUGCCUGGCCAGGACGAAGCCAGGGGAAACCCUGGUGGAGGUCCGUAGCGAUUCUGACGUGCAAAUCGAUCGUCUGAGCUGGGUAUAGGGGCGAAAGACUAAUCGAACCAUCUAGUAGCUG
RNAcentral lists this ribosomal RNA (356 nucleotides) under Acheta domesticus (house cricket). Its description in RNAcentral is "eukaryotic LSU rRNA". It matches the Rfam family "Eukaryotic large subunit ribosomal RNA", at positions 657 to 953 of the family's 3401-position model. Lineage: Eukaryota; Metazoa; Arthropoda; Insecta; Orthoptera; Gryllidae. The record is from RNAcentral.